AUUAUAGAAGAAGAAUAUGAAGGUAGUAACUCUAAUGUCAAAUAUGGGUGUCAAAUAUGAUGAUUGUGUCAAAGAAAGACUCCAAUGAAAUCAGACUUUGCAUUGAUCUGAGAGCAGUGAACAAAGCAAGAACAUCUUCCUGUACCAGCCAUAGAUAAUAUCUUAUAUGCUAUGCAAGGUGUGAAUAUUUUUACCAGUUUGGAUGCUACCAAAGGAUUUUGGCAAGUGGAACUUGCACUAGAGUCAAGGAAUUUGACAACCUUUAUUGCACACAGAGGAUGUUGUAGAUUUUGUAAAGUUCCCUUUGGACUUUCAAGUGCCCCAGAGGCUUAUCAAAAAGUUGUGGAUUUUAUUUUGCAAGUUCUUGCUGGAGUGGUUUGUAAUUUUGAAGAUGCAGCUCUGUAUGCCAUCAAUGUUAAAUAGCUCUGAGAUAGAUUAAAGGCAGUUUUUGAGAGAUUCCAAAAGAGAGGAUUGAAGAUAAAUAAAAAUAAAUGUCUCUUUGGCCUUGACAAGAUUGUGAUCUUAGGCCAUGUGGUUUCAGCUGAAGGACUGAAUCCUGAUCCAAAGAAGGUGAAAGCCAUCUUACAAGCCCCCAAACCCAGACAUUUAGAACUUGUUUUGGGCAACUUGUUGCUUUCUCAUGAAAUUUAUUCCUAAUGAUGCAGAUAUUUCCAAUCCACUUCUGUAGUGAAUUUAAGCCUUUGUCUCAGAGCCAGCUCACAUGGGGGACAGAUUGCUGAAUCAUCCCUGCUGAGCUUCCAUUUUAAAACAUUUUUACUUUAGACCUUCGACAGAUUAAAAUGCUGUCACCAGACACUCUUUUAUCAGAGAGUGGACAGCCUGGGCUGGCAUGCCACAGCCUAGACUUCUCUCUUUAUCUUGCUAUUGGGCAAAUACCAAAACCUUCCACAUGUAUGCCUACAUGUAGGUAGCUGGCUUUAGCAGCCAUGCUGGAGUCAUUUGCACUGUGGGCCCACCCUAGCUUUCUAGAGUAAAUCAAGCACCCUGUGGGACAUUUUAGAAAAGAAAAGAAAAUGCUAUAUUAAAUUGCUACAAAAAUAGUUUGGCUUAUGUUCCAGCUUUUUGGUUACAGAGUAUUUUAAAAAUGCCCGCAUAUUUUAAGGCAGCAUGUAGGUAAUUCAGUUACUCAGUUACUGUUACAAGGGGCAAAAAACAGAUAUUGAGCUAUGCAUGUGCGCACACGUGUAACUAGUAACUCAGAAUUGCAAACCCCUGUGAUGCAGAACACUGAGGAACUCUCUGAGAACAGUGAUAGCAGAACAGCUGAUGAAACUGAUACUCCUGAUGUAGAACUUGCUCCGGAAAAGACUACGAGGCAUGGACGAGUAGUUAAAAGAACCUCCAGAUCUAAGGAUACGGUUAUGAAGGAAGAGUGCAACUCAAUCCGGAACAGGCCAGAUACCUUUCUCCAGACUACCAGAAGCCCCAGCCAUCUUGUCUGGAAGAAGUUCUAUCCAGGAACCACUUGAUCUGCUUUCUUAUUCCCCUUCUAGGCACUCUACUCAAUCCUACAGAUUGGUGGGCAAAAGGUACAGUGCUGUCUUCUUCACGCUCCAGCAAAGUGCUAUCAACAGAUAGCCCAUUAGUUUUCCUUGACCAGGACUCCUUCCAAAUGCUUCCAGGGCAGGCCCAGAAAUUUGCUUGGAAAACCAUAUAGAUUAGGCCAUACCUGUCUAGCUCACUUCCUUCUUAUAAGCCUCUGCCUCUAGAAGGCUUCCUUAAUACCUCCCUUUGGACUGAUACUUCAACUUCAAACUGGCCAGUGAAGAAUUCAGUUUUGGAUAUCCUCUUUCUGCACAGUGUUUUGGAUCUCAGUUCAGAUGCUCAUGGAGCUCCCUGGCAAGGCCAGACCCCCAUCCUACAGGCAAGAAAGAGACCUGGUUAGCAACACGCAUAUUCAAACCCCUUCCUUUUUGGCAAGCCUCAGCUGAAAUAAAUAUCACUUGGGGACUGCAUAGAUCUGCUUUCCUG
This is a long non-coding RNA of Hemicordylus capensis (graceful crag lizard), 1992 nucleotides long. RefSeq lists it as uncharacterized. Lineage: Eukaryota; Metazoa; Chordata; Lepidosauria; Squamata; Cordylidae. The record is from RefSeq and is a predicted model, not a curated record. The transcript has 3 exons.